This 253-nucleotide ribosomal RNA is filed under the name uncultured bacterium. RNAcentral's name for it is "partial 16S ribosomal RNA". It matches the Rfam family "Bacterial small subunit ribosomal RNA", at positions 524 to 776 of the family's 1533-position model. The record is from RNAcentral.
UACGUAGGGGCCGAGCGUUGUCCGGAGUUAUUGGGCGUAAAGCGCGCGCAGGCGGCUUCGCGCGUCCGACGUGAAAGCCCCCGGCUCAAUCGGGGAGGGUCGUUGGGUACGGCGGAGCUUGAGGGCGGUAGAGGUUGGUGGAAUUCCUGGUGUAGCGGUGAAAUGCGCAGAUAUCAGGAGGAACACCGAUGGCGAAGGCAGGUCUCUGGGCAUUAACUGACGCUGAGGAGCGAAAGCAUGGGGAGCGAACAGG